GACGAACGCUGGCGGCGUGCCUAAUACAUGCAAGUCGGACGAGUUGCGAACGGGUGAGUAACGCGUAUGAACCUACCUAUUAGAGGGGGAUACCUAUUGGAAACGAUACCUAAUACCGCAUACUAGUAGAUCGACCUGCGUUGUAUUAGCUAGUUGGUGGGGUAAAGGCCUACCAAGGCGACGAUCCGUAACUGGGCUGAGAGGAUGAUCAGUCAAACUGGAACUGAGACACGGUCAAGACUCCUACGGGAGGCAGCAGGGGGGAAUAUGGGACAAUGGGCGAAAGCCUGAUCCAGCCAUGCCGCGUGUGUGAAGAAGGUCUUCGGAUUGUAAAGCACUUUAAGUUGGGAGGCGUUACCAACAGAAUAAGCACCGGCUAACGUCGUGCCAGCAGCCGCGGUAAUAC
RNAcentral lists this ribosomal RNA (406 nucleotides) under uncultured bacterium. Its description in RNAcentral is "partial 16S ribosomal RNA". It matches the Rfam family "Bacterial small subunit ribosomal RNA", at positions 28 to 526 of the family's 1533-position model. The record is from RNAcentral.